This 1364-nucleotide ribosomal RNA is filed under the name Latilactobacillus sakei. Its description in RNAcentral is "bacterial SSU rRNA". It matches the Rfam family "Bacterial small subunit ribosomal RNA", at positions 55 to 1379 of the family's 1533-position model. Lineage: Bacteria; Bacillati; Bacillota; Bacilli; Lactobacillales; Lactobacillaceae. The record is from RNAcentral.
AUGCAAGUCGAACGCACUCUCGUUUAGAUUGAAGGAGCUUGCUCCUGAUUGAUAAACAUUUGAGUGAGUGGCGGACGGGUGAGUAACACGUGGGUAACCUGCCCUAAAGUGGGGGAUAACAUUUGGAAACAGAUGCUAAUACCGCAUAAAACCUAACACCGCAUGGUGUAGGGUUGAAAGAUGGUUUCGGCUAUCACUUUAGGAUGGACCCGCGGUGCAUUAGUUAGUUGGUGAGGUAAAGGCUCACCAAGACCGUGAUGCAUAGCCGACCUGAGAGGGUAAUCGGCCACACUGGGACUGAGACACGGCCCAGACUCCUACGGGAGGCAGCAGUAGGGAAUCUUCCACAAUGGACGAAAGUCUGAUGGAGCAACGCCGCGUGAGUGAAGAAGGUUUUCGGAUCGUAAAACUCUGUUGUUGGAGAAGAAUGUAUCUGAUAGUAACUGAUCAGGUAGUGACGGUAUCCAACCAGAAAGCCACGGCUAACUACGUGCCAGCAGCCGCGGUAAUACGUAGGUGGCAAGCGUUGUCCGGAUUUAUUGGGCGUAAAGCGAGCGCAGGCGGUUUCUUAAGUCUGAUGUGAAAGCCUUCGGCUCAACCGAAGAAGUGCAUCGGAAACUGGGAAACUUGAGUGCAGAAGAGGACAGUGGAACUCCAUGUGUAGCGGUGAAAUGCGUAGAUAUAUGGAAGAACACCAGUGGCGAAGGCGGCUGUCUGGUCUGUAACUGACGCUGAGGCUCGAAAGCAUGGGUAGCAAACAGGAUUAGAUACCCUGGUAGUCCAUGCCGUAAACGAUGAGUGCUAGGUGUUGGAGGGUUUCCGCCCUUCAGUGCCGCAGCUAACGCAUUAAGCACUCCGCCUGGGGAGUACGACCGCAAGGUUGAAACUCAAAGGAAUUGACGGGGGCCCGCACAAGCGGUGGAGCAUGUGGUUUAAUUCGAAGCAACGCGAAGAACCUUACCAGGUCUUGACAUCCUUUGACCACUCUAGAGAUAGAGCUUUCCCUUCGGGGACAAAGUGACAGGUGGUGCAUGGUUGUCGUCAGCUCGUGUCGUGAGAUGUUGGGUUAAGUCCCGCAACGAGCGCAACCCUUAUUACUAGUUGCCAGCAUUUAGUUGGGCACUCUAGUGAGACUGCCGGUGACAAACCGGAGGAAGGUGGGGACGACGUCAAAUCAUCAUGCCCCUUAUGACCUGGGCUACACACGUGCUACAAUGGAUGGUACAACGAGUUGCGAGACCGCGAGGUUUAGCUAAUCUCUUAAAACCAUUCUCAGUUCGGAUUGUAGGCUGCAACUCGCCUACAUGAAGCCGGAAUCGCUAGUAAUCGCGGAUCAGCAUGCCGCGGUGAAUACGUUCCCGGGC